UCAACUUUGAAAUCCUUGACUGAGUCUGC
Molecule: non-coding RNA, 29 nt
Filed under: Mus musculus (house mouse)
Lineage: Eukaryota; Metazoa; Chordata; Mammalia; Rodentia; Muridae
Source: RNAcentral